This 700-nucleotide ribosomal RNA is filed under the name uncultured Verrucomicrobiota bacterium. RNAcentral's name for it is "bacterial SSU rRNA". It matches the Rfam family "Bacterial small subunit ribosomal RNA", at positions 76 to 775 of the family's 1533-position model. The record is from RNAcentral. Lineage: Bacteria; Pseudomonadati; Verrucomicrobiota.
GUAGCAAUACCGCUUCAUUCAGUGGCGCACGGGUGCGUAACACGUGAGUUACAUGCCCUGCAGUGGGGAAUAGCCCGCCGAAAGGCGGAUUAAUACCCCAUGGUCCCACAAGGGUAAAGGUGGCGCAAGCUGCCUCUGCAGGAUUGGCUCGCGGCCUAUCAGCUUGUUGGUGAGGUAACGGCUCACCAAGGCGACGACGGGUACCUGGUCUGAGAGGAUGAUCAGGCACACUGGAACUGAGACACGGUCCAGACACCUACGGGUGGCAGCAGUCGAGAAUAAUUCACAAUGGGGGAAACCCUGAUGGUGCAACGCCGCGUGGAGGAUGAAGGUCUUCGGAUUGUAAACUCCUGUCAUCGGGGAGUAAGACCUGGCGGUAAAUAGCCGACAGGGUUGAUAGUACCCGAAGAGGAAGGGACGGCUAACUUCGUGCCAGCAGCCGCGGUAAUACGAAGGUCCCAAGCGUUGUUCGGAAUCACUGGGCGUAAAGGGAGCGUAGGCUGCGCGGUAAGUCAGAUGUGAAAUCCCGGGGCUCAACCCCGGAACUGCAUCCGACACUGCCGUGCUUGAGGGUUGGAGAGGUAGCUGGAAUUAUCGGUGUAGCAGUGAAAUGCGUGGAUAUCGAUAGGAACACUCGUGGCGAAGGCGAGCUACUGGACAACAUCUGACGCUGAGGCUCGAAGGCUAGGGGAGCAAAAGG